RNAcentral lists this microRNA (21 nucleotides) under Medicago truncatula (barrel medic). RNAcentral's name for it is "mtr-miR482-3p". Its record names the gene mtr-miR482-3p. Lineage: Eukaryota; Viridiplantae; Streptophyta; Magnoliopsida; Fabales; Fabaceae. The record is from miRBase by way of RNAcentral.
CUUACCUACACCUCCCAUGCC